UACGAAGGGAGCUAGCGUUGUUCGGAAUCACUGGGCGUAAAGCGCACGUAGGCGGGUGUGUCAGUCAGGGGUGAAAUCCCGGAGCUCAACUUCGGAACUGCCCUUGAUACAGCACGUCUCGAGUCCGAGAGAGGUGAGUGGAAUUCCUAGUGUAGAGGUGAAAUUCGUAGAUAUUAGGAAGAACACCAGUGGCGAAGGCGGCUCACUGGCUCGGUACUGACGCUGAGGUGCGAAAGCGUGGGGAGCAAACAGG
Molecule: ribosomal RNA, 253 nt
Filed under: uncultured prokaryote
Description: partial 16S ribosomal RNA
Rfam family: Bacterial small subunit ribosomal RNA
Source: RNAcentral